CAAUUAAUUUUAAUAGAUAAAAAAAAAGUAGAAGAGAGAAGUUAUUGAAGAAAAAAGAGUUAAUCUUUAGUGUUUCUCAUUUCCUAACAGAGCUUUUGCAGCUGGCCUUCCAAUCCCCAAGCAAGUCCAAUCCUUUCAGUAGCCAUGGAACUCACCCUUGUCAAAGUCUUCUCCAAGGCAAACAUGUAAGUUCAAGAACAUGGAUCGUCAUGUUGAGACAAACCCAUAGGACCAAAUCUCAGGCAAAAGAAAGUUACAGCAAAGAAUAAAGAGGGGAGCACCAAAUCAAUGACAAUUGAAUGGCAAUCACUGCAUCAAAUGGCAUUGUUCUAUUUUUGUGGGAACCGACAGAUUAAUUUGGAUCUGCAGAGAUUUGAGAGAUCUAACCUUUUUAUCUGAAGACAUUGUAGCAUGGCAUGUCUGGGGCUGCCCUGAAAACGACAGUUUCAGGAUUUACCACAGCAUGAAAAGCUUCCAGAGGGACACAUGAGUUCUUAAGCACUUGGCAGCAUAUUUUCUGAUAGCAUUUUUGAAAAAAAUUAAAAUAUUUUUGGCAACUAGUUUUUAACUAAGUCAAUAUAUACUCUAAUAACAACAUGAUGGAUUA
This is a long non-coding RNA of Populus trichocarpa (black cottonwood), 607 nucleotides long. RefSeq lists it as uncharacterized. The record is from RefSeq and is a predicted model, not a curated record. The transcript is spliced from 2 exons. NCBI's taxonomy places the organism in Eukaryota, Viridiplantae, Streptophyta, Magnoliopsida, Malpighiales, Salicaceae.